This is a long non-coding RNA of Peromyscus californicus insignis, 5111 nucleotides long. RefSeq lists it as uncharacterized. The transcript is spliced from 7 exons. NCBI's taxonomy places the organism in Eukaryota, Metazoa, Chordata, Mammalia, Rodentia, Cricetidae. The record is from RefSeq and is a predicted model, not a curated record.
UAAGCAUUUGGCUGGUUAAGCUUUUAGGUUUUGAGCAGCACAGUUCAGCUGAGAGCCAUUCGGAUAUGAGGACACAGAGGCUUCCAGUCUGAGAAAACAAGACCAGCUGAGGAUCUGGCGAGAAGAUGGCGAUGAACAAUGUGGCUAGAUGGAGCACUGGCGUUUUGUUCGAUCACUCCAGCAGCACCACUCACUCAGUGUUGAACUCAUGUUGAAAUGUCAUCUCCAAUGCACCAGAGUUGGGAAGUGGGGCCAACUGGGAGGUGUUGUCACAGCUCUGGCCCUGUGAAUAGAAUCACGCUGCUCUACCAAGGGCUUCUGGGAGUGGGCUACCGCUUGCAUUCUUCUGCCAUAUGAGAAACACCACUCAUCCUCUCUGGAGGUCACAGUGGUCAAGGCACCAUCUUGAAGCAGAGACUACACCCUUAUCAGCUCGUAACUCUGCUAGUCACACUGAAAAAGAAGCCUUGAAAGCAGAUGUCCUGGGAAUCGCAGAGGAAACGAGACUCUGGGACUCAGAGAGUCGGCCAUGAAAUGCUGCCCAGUCUUCACCCCAUUUCCCCUUUCCAAUCUUCUUUACUCUUGUCUUCCAUGGAGGAAGGAAGGAUGGAAGCCCUGAGCUGCUGCUCUAGCACCGUGCCUGCCUGCCACUGCCGUGCUCCCUACCAUGAUGGCCAUGGACACACCCCAGGAAACUGUUAUAGUCCAUCAUUGGGGAAACCAGGAAGGAAUGCAGGGCCGGAACCUGGAGGCAAGAACUGAGGCAACCGACCAUGGAGGAGUGCUGCUUACUGGCUUGUUCCCUAUGGCUUGUUCAUCUUGCUUUCUGAUCCAGGCCAGGACCACCUGUCCAGACAAGAAACCACUACAGGAACCAUGACUAUGCCUAACAGCAACUUUGAAAUCUUCAAAAAGAAGACAGGACUCCACAAAGAUGAUUCCACAUGGACUAUGAUAAAGCCAUUAAGCUGGUUAACACCAAGGAAAGAUCUACGUUGGACUACAAACUGGUCAGGACAAUUUCGAGAUGACUAGCUGAGACGAUCCAGCCUGACAGACUACUCGAGCAAGGACUUGUGACAAGCCCUGAACUUUCUUUUUAUGCAGAGAACUGAACAAAUGAUACAGGACUUGACAAUUAACCCAAAAAUUUUCUUUUCAAGAUUCCCUAAAGAUAUCUUCACUCCUAGAAAGCAAAAAGAAGAAGAGAAUAAGAUAUGAGAUAGAUCAUUGAAUCUACUCUGAGAAAAAAGAUAAAGAAAUAAUAGGAUAAAUAGGUAGAUCACUGAAUCUACACUGAAGAAAAAGGGGAAGAUAUAAAAAUGACAAAAGGUAGACUACUGAAUGUAUUAUGGAAAGAAAAAAGAGGAUAUGGGUAUGAUAAGAUAAAAAGGGAGAUUAUGGAAUCUGCUUUUAAAAAAGGAACUACUUGUUUUAAAUAAGAUAAGUAAUGAAAAUUUUUUGGUCUGAGUUUAUCAGAUGUUACUGGACUGAACAUUGUUAAUAUGUAUAAUGGAGUUUUUUAUCUGAAUCUGUCAAAUGUUAAUGGACUAGAUAUCAUUAAUGUAAUUUUUGGCUGUAUAUAUUGUAUAUACUUAUUGGAUAGUUUUUCUUGUAUUAGUUAUAAGUCUUUUUUAAUUUUAGACAAAAAAGAGGAAAUGUGGUGGUAUUGUGUUCCCCAAAAUAUUGUGUACCUUAAUAAACUUAUCUGGGGUCAGAGAACAGAAAAGCCACAAGAUACUUAGGCUAGAAAAUGUUAGCACAUGCCUUUAAUCCUAGCAUUCCAGAGACAGAAAUCCCUCUGGAUCUCUGUGAGUUCAAAGCCACAUUGGAAACAGCUAGGCAUGGUGACUCACACCUUUAAUCCCAGAAAGCAGCCUUUAAUCCCAGGGGAGUGGUGGUAGAAAGCAGAAAGGUUUAUAAGGCGUGAGGACUAGAAACUAGAAGCAUUUGGCUGGUUAAGCAAGCAUUCAGGCUUUUGAACAGCAAUUCAGCUGAGACCCAUUCUGGAUGAAGACUCAGAGGCUUCCAGUCUGAGGUACAAGACCAGCUGAAGAUCUGGCGAGGUGAGGUAGCUGUGGCUUGUUCUGUCUCUCUGAUCUACCAGCAUUCACCCCAAUAACUGGCCUCAGGUUUGAUUUUAUUAAUAAGAACUUUUAAGAUUCAUGCUACAAUACCUCUAACCCCAGCACUGGGGAGUGGAGGCAUCAGAAUCGGGAGUUCAAGGUCAUCCUUGACUAAAUAGUGGGUUUGCAUACAGGUUUGAGCUACAUGAGACCUUGUUUCAAAAAAUAAGCAGGCAAGCGAACAAAAAUUCUUCUUAUAAGAUCAAACCCUUGACUCAACAUGAAUUACAGGCCCAUGAUUGUGACUAUGUAAAUAUCAUUUGAAGCAAUUUCAGUCUUGAAAAUCAAUCAUAUAAAAUAUCACAAACAUUAUUAUAGGUAUUUGGAGAACAAAACAAAUGUUAGAAGCUUUGACAAUAUAAAAUCUAAAUAAAACAACAGCAAAUGUUACUGAGUAGAGGGAUGAAAAGAUUUAGAAGUAAUUUCAAAGUUAUUAUCCAUUCUUCCAAAUUGUAAAUUUUUACAUUAUUUUGGUAUGUGUAUGUAUUUGUACUUGUUAGUGUAGGUGUGUGUAUCUGUGCAUAUGAGCAUGCACAUGUGCUCAUGAGGAGGCCAGAGAUAGGAAACAUUUUUCUUCUAUGACUGUCCAUCCUUACUUUUUGAGAUGAGGCUUCUCACUGAACUUGCACCCUGAUUCAGCUAGGCAGCUUAGCUAGUGAGCUGCAGGAGUCCAGUAGCUCUGGGCCUUAAUGCUCGGGGUUACUGACCACUGUGCCCAGUUUCUUACACAGACACUGGUGAUCUGAACUCAGUUCCUCAUGUGUGCAGAACAAAAACUUUAUCUACUGAGCCAUCAUUCUCAACCUGACUUUCAUAUUUUGAGCUGGUUUAUAAGAAUUGUCCAGAGUUAAGGGUACAAUGUGGUGUUCUGACAUGAGCAAUGUGAUGCAUGAUAAUCUAAUUAGCUUAUCCAUCACCUCAAUCAUCUACGCAUUUCUGGGGUGAAAACAAUCAGAAUCACUUCUAAAGUAUUAGUUAGAGCUGGAAAACCUCAAAACACAAAUCCUGAUACAUAUCUUUCAUAGCUGACAAGCUAAUGACCAGAAGGAAUGAAGUAAUAGUAUAAUUGACAAGACUGAAGUAAAGCAGCAGUAGGGGAUUGUAAGAUGAAUUGCUAAAUAGUCCCUUAUUAAUAAAAAACCCGGAGCCAGAUAUGGGGGUGCAAACCGAGAGACCAGAGGAAUAGGACAAGCCACAGCCAACCUCACCUCACCGACUCCUCAGGCUCCAGAGAGACCUCCUUCCUGUAUACCCACGCCUAUAUGCCUUUCUGUCCCUGCCAUCUCACUUCCUCUCUCUGCCCAGCUACAUCAAUUCCUCUUUCUGCCCAGCUCUGUCACUUCCUGUCUGUCUAUACAGACCUCCAUACCUUCAUGGUUAGUGCUGGGAUUAAAGGCAAUGGUAAUUGCCUGACUUCUAUUGUUUACUGUAGUGGCUGGCUUUUUCCCAUGAUCCUCAGAUAAGCUUUGUUGGGGUACACAGAUAAAAUAUCACCACUGGGGAUUUACAAGAGGGUAAUGAUUUCUUCAUUAUUUUAUUUUAUACAGAAGAUUGGGGCUGUCUAGAAUUAAUAACUCAGGCAAGGAGAGAUGGUUUGGUGGUCAAAAAUACCAGCUGUUCUUCUACAGGACCCAGGUUUCCAGCACCCCCGUGGCAGCUCACAGCUACCUGUAACUCCAGUUACAGGCCAUCCAAUACACCUUCUUCUACUGUCCUCGCCAAUACCAGGCAUCCUGGUGGUGGACAGGACACAUGCAGGCAAAACAACCACAUAAAAUGUAAAUUAUUAUUUAAAAUUGAUAACUUGAGAAGUAAAAUCAUUAAAACUCUAAUAAGAAUGUUGUGGUUACUGAGGUGGGCAAGACUGUUGCUUCCACAAUUUCAGUUUGUAGAGUCUUUAGAACCUAUGUAUCAUCCCCCCAACACAAAUGUUGAGACACUGUUUAGAGAAUAUUGUAAAAGAGACUCAAACCACAUUAGUUUGCUGGCUCUAAAUGAAGUCCCUGUCUCAGCCCUGAAUUCCCUACGAUUAAUAACAACUUAGCAAUGCUCAGGAUUUGGGAGAAUAAAUAACCCUGUCAUUUUCUACCCCCAAGCUGUGGCUUCAUAUUAGACAGCCAUGCUAAUUCUGCUUGUAAUCCCCAGGAAGUGUGGGGACUUGUGUAAUCCUUCAUCGCUAAGCCUGUUUCAUCUCCGCUGAACGCAGAAGGAUCAACUUUUAAAAAUUGCCAGUGGGGGUAAGGAGAUGAAAAAACAAUAAGGAAUGACAAGGUGUGUUGGGAGAUGAAAAGGAAUAACAGUGAUUAGGUUAAAAUAAUUAGAUAUUUAUUCUACUCACUUAUCUCACAGGGAUCAACAUUUCACCUGCAAUAAUGGGAAUUUCAUAUAUCUCCAAAUUACUUUAUGAAAGCCUCGUUUGAACCUAAAGUACAUCCGAUCCUAAAAUAUUCAGUAAUGUUCCAAAUCAAGAAUUUAUGAAUUCAGCAUCUUACUGCAGGGCCGAGGCUCUGCUUUUGAACCUUCUUUACUCCUCAAGAGAGGGGUAGAGCACAGAAUUCGGGGGACUUUUGAAAUCGGCAAGUGAGUUGGUGAGAUAGGCCCCAGCUGGUUCUACAGGUUGGGUUCUUGAUGUGCAGAUGUCUCCAAAGUCCUGUUCCCUAGGAGCAGUGAUGAAGCUGGAGUGUAUGAUGGAUGAGACGGUCCAAUUCAGUUCUCUCUGUUUAUGUGUGUUAUUUACCUCCUGUGCCAUCUGUAUUUCCACUGCACAUUACCAUCAGAACAUUCCUUUUUCUGGGAAUGGGGGGAACGGAUAGCAAGAAAGGGAGUUGGAAUGAGAAAGAAGGCUGGAUAUUAAGUGUACAUAUCUGGCAGUCAUAUUAUUGCUUUGAAAUAGAAAAUUGUUCUUUGAAAUAUCAGAGCUAAAUCUUUUUUCUUUUACUGCGUUUUAUUGAAAAAUUCAUACAAUAAAAAAACCCUUCAGUUUCA